Molecule: long non-coding RNA, 344 nt
Organism: Physella acuta
Lineage: Eukaryota; Metazoa; Mollusca; Gastropoda; Physidae
Source: RefSeq, a predicted model, not a curated record
ACAUGGUUAGUAGAUUGUGGUAAAACGUUUAAUACGUUCAUCUAUGACUUCUAAAGCCACCUGACUUAUAAAUGUAAGGUCAGGUCAGGUCUACUCGGCCCAGUACAAGAGUCGAUGUCACCCGGUCUCAUGCUCACAACCUGCUUGCAUCCUGCGGCGUCACAGAGUCGGUAUCAGCACAAGUCAAUAACAUUGAUAUGAAAAUGCCACCAAAAAAAAGUUUUUUCUUUCUUGCCAUGUGUUUAUUGGAAAUCAAAGGCCAAUUGCCAAAUGUAAUGAGAAAUCAUCCCAGACUUCGUGCAUUUGUUGGAGUGCCUCAUAAUUUUUCUCCGCAUCGUAAAAAU